CAUCGUACGGAGAAAUGCCUGGGGUCAGACCUACAGUCCCAUGAAAACAAGAACAGACUCGCUGAUUUGAAGCACAGUACAUCAACAAAUCACUUUCUGCAGACGUCUUGAUAACAGCAUUAUAAAGAUCCUGUGCCAGUCAGAAUGGGAUUCUGCGGAGCCUUGAAAUAAUCAACAGUGCCUCAAGUGUUGUGACUUGGUAUUGUGCCAUGGUUUAAGUAAAGCAUAGACCAUCAAAUGGGAUUAAUAAAUAAACAAAAAAACAAGAGUUCAUAUCCCAGACUGGAAGAACAGCAGUAGGAAAACGGAGGCAAGCAGAGGGAGGCAGAAAAGGCUGCAGAGCCUCACAGGAGGCAGAGACAACCGCAGAGAAACAAGGGAGGCAGAGGCAGCCACAGAGAAACACAGGAGGCAGAGGCAGCCACAGAGAAACACAGGAGGCAGAGACAACUGCAGAGAAACACGGGAGACAGAGACGGCCGCAGAGCAUCAUAGGAGGCAGAGACGGCUGCAGAGCAUCAUAGGAGGCAGAGACAACCGCAGAGAAACACGGGAGACAGAGACGGCUGCAGAGCAUCAUGGGAGGGGGAAACAAGAGGCAGAUGGAGCUGCACAGACAGCCGCAGAGCAUCUUGGGAGGCAGAGACAGCUGCAAAGCAUCAUGGGAGGUAGAGAUGGCUGCAGUGAAACAUGGGAGGCAGAGGCAGCCACAGAGCAUCAUGAGAGGCAGAGAUGGCUGCAAAGUACCUUGGGAGGCAGAGACAGCUGCAAAGCAUAAUGGGACACAGAGACAACUGCAAAGCAUCAUGGGAGGCAGAGACAUACUGCAAACAGUAUUUUCAGGAUUACAUACAUCAGCUUCUCUGUGAGCCAGAUGUUAGUUUCUCUGAAACAAACAAAAAGCAGUAUUUGGGGUUCGUAGAGUUAUUGGUCCUAACCUGUUUUGUUUAGUAUUGUGCUGCCCCUAGACAUCGACAUGCAGCGGGGCAGGAAGCAUGCAGCCCUUUAGACUUUUGACCUUUUUGCACCCGCCCCCGAUAACCGAAAACAGGCACUGUCCGAUGAAUCAUUGCCUAGUGCUUUCUAGCAUGUUCUAGAAGCAAUACUUUCAAGGACAAACUUAAUUUGUGCCAAGUGUUUUGUCUUUUACAAUCUGCAUCUGCAGCGCCAUCUACAGUGCUGCUGUAGAUCUGCAGAAGCAUAAAAAAGUGCUGCAUCAUAUGAACGCUUGUGCACAGGUGCUGUAAACCAUUCUGAAAUCACUGAGGUCACUAAAAUCAAAAGCAGCAGCGCAGCAAUGAAUCAUAGAUAUAAAAAAACAUAAUAGAAAGACAAAGGUAAACAAGUCACUUAAGCGGCACUACAUACCCAUGAAAAUAAAAGCAUUGCAGAAAAUCAGCUCCAUGCAGGGUUGAUACAAUGGGUGUGGAAAGGCGGUGCAGCGGUUAAGGACAUAAAUCUGAAGGUCCCCAGCUCAAGUCUUAGCAGAAGUUCUGCUGUUGUACCCUUACGUAAAGAGACUCAACUGUCACAGUAAAACAAUGCAGGGAUAUUUAGCAGACAGAUGAGCAUAGAGGCAUACAGACAAAUAAUAAUGAUCAAUACUUUAUUAAUCCCUGUGGGAAAAUCGUCAUUUUUACGCCUCCCUCAACUUGCUCUUUGUGGAGUAAGCUGUCUGUGAAAGGCAGCCAUUUGUUGGGGCACCUAGGGGUUAAGAGCCUUGCUCAAGGACCCGCAGACGUGCGGGGGCUGGGUUUGGACCGGCGACUUUGUGAUUACAGGUAUACAGGCUUAGCCCACAGAGCCACACGCUGCCCCUUAUCAUAAGACAGGCUUAUCAUAAAAGAAAAAAUAUAUAUAUUAUUGCUGGCAAAUGAAGAUUCUGACGAAAGGAAUAACUGACUUACAGGUAAACAUACAAAUGAAGGAGGAAGUUGACAGGAAUAUUUGGACAGUCUGUCUCCAUCCAUUGUUUUAUAAAGGACAGUUCCCAGUGUUUUUUCUGAUGUAAUUAUACCCAUUUUGUUUUCAUUUUCAUCUAUGCACCUUAACGGUUUACAUUCCAUGUGAGUGGAGUUUCAAGGAACAACCACUGACUUGCCUCGAUAUAUUCAUGCUUUUCUGUAUCAUGCCUAAAGCGGUUGUUUUAGAGUGGUAAGCACCCAGUGACGUGACAAGAUACUGUCACUUCACAAAAAGCCUCUUCUCCCUACAAACACACACACACACACACAAACACAUGCAUGCAUGAACGUAAACGCUGAUGGAAAAGCAUUUUGGUUCCAAAUACUGACAAGUAGUUCAACAGGUAAAACAUAUCCCCUGCAUUUUUCUGUUCACAGUGAAGCAUUUAUAAAUAAAAAUGGCUUAGAUCGA
Molecule: long non-coding RNA, 2376 nt
Organism: Brienomyrus brachyistius
Lineage: Eukaryota; Metazoa; Chordata; Actinopteri; Osteoglossiformes; Mormyridae
Exons: 3
Source: RefSeq, a predicted model, not a curated record